Molecule: ribosomal RNA, 201 nt
Filed under: uncultured bacterium
Lineage: Bacteria
Description: partial 16S ribosomal RNA
Rfam family: Bacterial small subunit ribosomal RNA
Source: RNAcentral
UACGUAGGGUGCAAGCGUUGUCCGGAAUUAUUGGGCGUAAAGAGCUCGUAGGCGGUUUGUCGCGUCUGCUGUGAAAACUCGAGGCUCAACCUCGGGCUUGCAGUGGGUACGGGGCAGACUAGAGUGCGGUAGGGGUGACUGGAAUUCCUGGUGUAGCGGUGAAAUGCGCAGAUAUCAGGAGGAACACCGGUGGGCGAAAGG